UUCAACUUGGCCAAGUGAGAGAUGAUGGACUUCAACUUUGGAUCCAUCCUACAAACACAAAUAUUAUUUGAAUCAAGAAAAAUAUAGUGGCAAAAAAGCAAAAAUUUGCCAAGAACAUGAAGAACAUUCAAACUUUCAAAAGUUUAAAAGAUGAGAUUCCAAUGGCCACCAUUCAUCAAAAUCACAACAAUAUCAACUGGAAAAGAGUUUAACAUACUUGAAAACUCACAAAAUAACGGAUUUGGUGAUGAUUCGAAUGGUUUUUGGCCUAUCAAAUGGUGAAUCUAGGAAGCAAGGUUUAAGUUUGGUGGGAGAAAGUUUCUAAGAGCAAUGGCAAUAGAGUUUUGAGUAUGGAGAAAUGUUUGGAGCCAAAUUGGUAUUUAUAAUGCCUAGGUUUUCUAACGGAUAUGAAGUUCAAAGGUCUCUCAAGAAUUGAUUAGGGUAUCUCCCUAAACAUCAAUUUAACUCAAGCACCAUAAAUUGCUACAAUAAAGUAUGAAGUUGAAACAUCUGGAGAAAGCUAAAAAGUCGUAAGAAUUUUGAUUCACUUACCCUUUCACCAAUUGAAGGCCAAGAAAUCAAGAGGACAAUGUUUGGAUGUGGUCACCAAAUUCCAGCCAAGUCAAGGAGACCAAAUUCCAAGAGGCCUAGCCAAGUAAGAAAAUGCAACAAACAAAUGGCAAUAAAUAAAUAAAAUUCAACUAGCUGGGAUAAAGGAUCAGCCAAGUGAAAAAUCAAAUUGAAACUUUCACCAGUCUAUUUCAACAAGUGGCUAGAUCUACUUGCAAAAAUUGGGCUGGCCGGGUUCUCUCUUCCUAGCAGAUGCAAGGCCAAGUUAAUCAGACUUUCCUUGCAGAAGGAUGCGGCUAGUAAGGUUCAUGGCUGGUUUGGAAUUGGCUGGAUAAGGCAAUGGCUGGAGUCUUCUACUGUGGUUUUGGAAUUUAGUUGGUUGGAGGUGUGCGAUGACAAAGGUUGG
RNAcentral lists this long non-coding RNA (976 nucleotides) under Prunus persica (peach). RNAcentral's name for it is "long non-coding RNA (PPER_LNC005075)". Lineage: Eukaryota; Viridiplantae; Streptophyta; Magnoliopsida; Rosales; Rosaceae. The record is from RNAcentral.